This 465-nucleotide ribosomal RNA is filed under the name uncultured bacterium. RNAcentral describes it as "partial 16S ribosomal RNA". It matches the Rfam family "Bacterial small subunit ribosomal RNA", at positions 28 to 507 of the family's 1533-position model. The record is from RNAcentral.
GACGAACGCUGGCGGCGUGCUUAACACAUGCAAGUCGAACGGAAAGGCCCCUUUGGGGGUACUCGAGUGGCGAACGGGUGAGUAACACGUGAGUAACCUGCCCUUGACUUCGGGAUAACUUCAGGAAACUGGGGCUAAUACCGGAUAGGAAUCCUUGCUGCAUGGUGGGGGUUGGAAAGCUUCGGCGGUUUUGGAUGGACUCGCGGCUUAUCAGCUUGUUGGUGGGGUAGUGGCUUACCAAGGCUUUGACGGGUAGCCGGCCGGAGAGGGCGACCGGCCACAGUGGGAGUGAGAAACGCCCCAGCCUCCUCGGGGGGGCGGCAGGGGGGAGUAUUACAGGAUGGGGGGGGCCAGGAGGCGGCAGCGCCGCGGGGGGGAUGAUGGCGUUGGGGUGAUAGCCCGUUUCGGGCAGGGGGGAAGCUUGAGAUGACGGUACCUGCAGAAGAAGCCACGGCUAACUACGUG